ACGCACGCUGGCGGCGUGCUUCACACCUGCCAGUCGAACGGAAAGGCCCUGCUUUUGUGGGGUGCUCGAGUGGCGAACGGGUGAGUAACACGUGAGUAACCUGCCCUUGACUUUGGGAUAACUUCAGGAAACUGGGGCUAAUACCGGAUAGGAGCUCCUGCUGCAUGGUGGGGGUUGGAAAGUUUCGGCGGUUGGGGAUGGACUCGCGGCUUAUCAGCUUGUUGGUGGGGUAGUGGCUUACCAAGGCUUUGACGGGUAGCCGGCCUGAGAGGGUGACCGGCCACAUUGGGACUGAGAUACGGCCCAGACUCCUACGGGAGGCAGCAGUGGGGAAUAUUGCACAAUGGGCGGAAGCCUGAUGCAGCAACGCCGCGUGCGGGAUGACGGCCUUCGGGUUGUAAACCGCUUUCGCCUGUGACGAAGCGGGAGUGACGGUAAUGGGUAAAGAAGCACCGGCUAACUACGUG
Molecule: ribosomal RNA, 467 nt
Filed under: uncultured bacterium
Lineage: Bacteria
Description: partial 16S ribosomal RNA
Rfam family: Bacterial small subunit ribosomal RNA
Source: RNAcentral